CGUAGGGUGCAAGCGUUAAUCGGAAUUACUGGGCGUAAAGCGUGCGCAGGCGGUGAUGUAAGACAGGUGUGAAGUCCCCGGGCUUAACCUGGGAACUGCAUUCGUGACUGCAUCGCUGGAGUGCGGCAGAGGGGGAUGGAAUUCCGCGUGUAGCAGUGAAAUGCGUAGAUAUGCGGAGGAACACCGAUGGCGAAGGCAAUCCCCUGGGCCUGCACUGACGCUCAUGCACGAAAGCGUGGGGAGCAAACAGGAUUAGAUACCCUGGUAGUCCACGCCCUAAACGAUGUCAACUGGUUGUUGGGUCUUCACUGACUCAGUAACGAAGCUAACGCGUGAAGUUGACCGCCUGGGGAGUACGGCCGCAAGGUUG
RNAcentral lists this ribosomal RNA (370 nucleotides) under uncultured organism. RNAcentral describes it as "bacterial SSU rRNA". It matches the Rfam family "Bacterial small subunit ribosomal RNA", at positions 526 to 896 of the family's 1533-position model. The record is from RNAcentral.